RNAcentral lists this ribosomal RNA (891 nucleotides) under Parazoanthidae sp. QM G337584. RNAcentral describes it as "partial large subunit ribosomal RNA". It matches the Rfam family "Eukaryotic large subunit ribosomal RNA", at positions 76 to 776 of the family's 3401-position model. The record is from RNAcentral. Lineage: Eukaryota; Metazoa; Cnidaria; Anthozoa; Zoantharia; Parazoanthidae.
UCCCUCAGUAACGGCGAGUGAAGCGGGAACAGCUCAAAUUUGAAAUCUCCGUUGCUUGCAACGGCGAAUUGUAGUUUCGAGAAGCACUUUCUAGGCGGAUCGACCCUGUCUAAGUUGCUUGGAACAGCACGUCAUAGAGGGUGACAACCCCGUCCGUGACGAGGCCGGCCGCUCACGAUGUGUUUUCGAAGAGUCGGGUUGUUUGGGAAUGCAGCCCAAAAUGGGUGGUAAACUCCAUCUAAAGCUAAAUAUAGGCACGAGACCGAUAGCGAACAAGUACCGUGAGGGAAAGAUGAAAAGAACUUUGAAAAGAGAGUUAAAAAGUACGUGAAACCGUUGAAAGGGAAACGAAUGGAGUUAGCAAUGCACUCUGCAAGAUUCAGCCGGCGGGUGACUCGGAUGGGCGGUUGGCGGAUCUGAAUGGACCGCCGUCGUCCAGCUCGUGUUCCCUGCCGUCGCACUUCUUACGGGUGCGCGUCAACGUCGGUUCGGAUCCGGUCUUAAAGGUCCGCGGGAAGGUAGGUCGGACGCUUCGGUGCCCUUCUGUUACAGCCCACGUUUCUUAUGGCCGAGUCCGGACCGAGGCGUCGCAGCGCAUGCCUCUUUUGGCUAGGGUCCUUUGGCGCUUCCGGUUGUCGAUUGCGGUGGACUGCGUGCAGUGCACCCGAACCGCUGCCGGUCGUCGCGGAGGUGACUUCGUACAAUGCGCUCAGGACGUUGGCGGUCAUAUGGCUUCAUCCGACCCGUCUUGAAACACGGACCAAGGAGUCUAGCCUGUGCGCGAGUCUUAGGGUGAGCGAAACCCCGAGGCGCAAUGAAAGUGAAAGCGGCCUGGCCGCCGAGGUGAGAACCUCUCCUCCGGGGGAGGCGCAUCAUUGACCGAUCUAUUCU